Molecule: non-coding RNA, 23 nt
Filed under: Arabidopsis thaliana (thale cress)
Lineage: Eukaryota; Viridiplantae; Streptophyta; Magnoliopsida; Brassicales; Brassicaceae
Source: RNAcentral
GCCACGUGUCAUAAUCUGGUGAG